Molecule: small nucleolar RNA, 108 nt
Organism: Pistacia vera
Lineage: Eukaryota; Viridiplantae; Streptophyta; Magnoliopsida; Sapindales; Anacardiaceae
Source: RefSeq, a predicted model, not a curated record
AGACCAUGAUGUGGACAUUUCCUUAACAACUCUGUGUACCUCUCCCAAGCUUCAUAAAGUGAUUCAUCAUUGCCUUGCAUGAAAAGAGAGAAUGUCGUUUCUCAUUUU